CCUACGGGCGGCAGCAGUGAGGAAUAUUGGUCAAUGGGCGUAAGCCUGAACCAGCCAAGUCGCGUGAGGGAUGAAGGUUCUAUGGAUCUUAAACCUCUUUUAUAAGGGAAUAAAGUGUGGGACGUGUCCUGUUUUGUAUGUACCUUAUGAAUAAGGAUCGGCUAACUCGGUGCCAUAAGCGGCGGUAAUACGGAGGAUCCGAGCGUUGUCCGGUUUUAUUGGGUUUAAAGGGUGCGUAGGCGGCCUUUUAAGUCAGAGGUGAAAGUCUGUGGCUCUACCAUAGAAGUGCCGUUGAAACUGGGAGGCUUGAGUGUGUUUGAGGCAGGCGGAAUGCGUGGUGUAGCGGUGAAAUGCUUAGAUAUCACGCAGAACCCCAAUGGCGAAGGCAGCCUGCCAGGCCAUGACUGACGCUGAGGCACGAAAGCGUGGGGAUCAAACAGGAUUAGAUACCCUUGUAGUC
This 460-nucleotide ribosomal RNA is filed under the name uncultured bacterium. RNAcentral describes it as "partial 16S ribosomal RNA". It matches the Rfam family "Bacterial small subunit ribosomal RNA", at positions 338 to 795 of the family's 1533-position model. The record is from RNAcentral.